Molecule: ribosomal RNA, 498 nt
Filed under: Enterococcus faecalis
Lineage: Bacteria; Bacillati; Bacillota; Bacilli; Lactobacillales; Enterococcaceae
Description: bacterial SSU rRNA
Rfam family: Bacterial small subunit ribosomal RNA
Source: RNAcentral
AAACUCAAAGGAAUUGACGGGGGCCCGACAAGCGGUGGAGCAUGUGGUUUAAUUCGAAGCAACGCGAAGAACCUUACCAGGUCUUGACAUCCUUUGACCACUCUAGAGAUAGAGCUUUCCCUUCGGGGACAAAGUGACAGGUGGUGCAUGGUUGUCGUCAGCUCGUGUCGUGAGAUGUUGGGUUAAGUCCCGCAACGAGCGCAACCCUUAUUGUUAGUUGCCAUCAUUUAGUUGGGCACUCUAGCGAGACUGCCGGUGACAAACCGGAGGAAGGUGGGGAUGACGUCAAAUCAUCAUGCCCCUUAUGACCUGGGCUACACACGUGCUACAAUGGGAAGUACAACGAGUCGCUAGACCGCGAGGUCAUGCAAAUCUCUUAAAGCUUCUCUCAGUUCGGAUUGCAGGCUGCAACUCGCCUGCAUGAAGCCGGAAUCGCUAGUAAUCGCGGAUCAGCACGCCGCGGUGAAUACGUUCCCGGGCCUUGUACACACCGCCCGU